This 270-nucleotide ribosomal RNA is filed under the name uncultured archaeon. RNAcentral's name for it is "partial 16S ribosomal RNA". It matches the Rfam family "Archaeal small subunit ribosomal RNA", at positions 477 to 747 of the family's 1478-position model. The record is from RNAcentral.
CAGCACCUCAAGUGGUCAGGAUGAUUAUUGGGCCUAAAGCAUCCGUAGCCUGCUUUGUUAGUUUUCGGUUAAAUACAUACGCUCAACGUAUGGGCUGCCGGGAAUACUGCAAAGCUAGGGAGUGGGAGAGGUAGACGGUACUCGGUAGGAAGGGGUAAAAUCCUUUGAUCUAUUGAUGACCACCUGUGGCGAAGGCGGUCUACCAGAACACGUCCGACGGUGAGGGAUGAAAGCUGGGGGAGCAAACCGGAUUAGAUACCCGAGUAGUCC